Molecule: ribosomal RNA, 478 nt
Filed under: Phyllodactylus reissii
Lineage: Eukaryota; Metazoa; Chordata; Lepidosauria; Squamata; Phyllodactylidae
Description: partial 12S ribosomal RNA
Rfam family: Bacterial small subunit ribosomal RNA
Source: RNAcentral
CCAUCCGCCAGAGAACUACGAGUGAAAAACUUAAAACUCAAAGGACUUGACGGUGCCCCAUACCAACCUAGAGGAGCCUGUCCUAUAACCGAUACUCCACGCUAAACCUUUCCCCCCCUCGUACCAAACCAGCCUAUAUACCGCCGUCGCCAGCCUGCCUAGUGAUAGCCACAAAGCAAGCAAAACAGUAUGCCCACUAGCACGUCAGGUCAAGGUGUAGCCAAUGGGUGGGUCAGAGAUGGGCUACAUUUUCUAACCACUAGAAAACACUUCAGGCAAUAUGAAACCUAAGCCACAUCGGCGGAUUUAGCAGUAAAUACUGGCAAGAAAUGCCUAAUUGAAACAUGCCCUGGGGCGCGUACACACCGCCCGUCACCCUCCUCAACAAAAGCACACCAAAUAUAUAAAUCGAAUCACCACCAUAGAUGAGGCAAGUCGUAACAUGGUAAGCUCACCGGAAGGUGAGCUUGGCACAUCA